RNAcentral lists this small nuclear RNA (108 nucleotides) under Pan troglodytes (chimpanzee). The record is from RNAcentral. Lineage: Eukaryota; Metazoa; Chordata; Mammalia; Primates; Hominidae.
GUGCUCGCUUCGGCAGCACAUAUACUAAAUAUCUGGAAUGAUGCAGAGUAGAUUAGCAUGGCCCUGCGCAAGGAUGACAUGCAAAUCUGUGAAGCGUUCCAUAUUUUU